This 143-nucleotide small nuclear RNA is filed under the name Sorex araneus (European shrew). RNAcentral describes it as "U1 spliceosomal RNA (ENSSARG00000020136.1)". It matches the Rfam family "U1 spliceosomal RNA", at positions 31 to 166 of the family's 166-position model. Rfam says of the family: U1 is a small nuclear RNA (snRNA) component of the spliceosome (involved in pre-mRNA splicing). Lineage: Eukaryota; Metazoa; Chordata; Mammalia; Eulipotyphla; Soricidae. The record is from RNAcentral.
CUAUCUACCUGCCUCCAUCAGUUUCUCCAGGGUGAGGUUCCUCCAGUGAACUCCAGAUGUGCUGACCCCUACAUUUCCCCAAAUGUGGGAAACUUGACUACUGUAUUUGUGGUCGUGGGGGACUGCAUUGUAGCUCUCCCUGG